CCUACGGGGGGCAGCAGUGGGGAAUAUUGCGCAAUGGGCGAAAGCCUGACGCAGCGACGCCGCGUGAGGGAUGAAGGUCUUCGGAUCGUAAACCUCUGUCAGCAGGGAAGAACGGUCACUGUGCUAAUCAGCAGUGAAUUGACGGUACCUGCAAAGGAAGCACCGGCUAACUCCGUGCCAGCAGCCGCGGUAAUACGGAGGGUGCGAGCGUUAAUCGUAAUUACUGGGCGUAAAGCGCUCGUAGGCGGUAUGUCAAGUCAAGGGUGAAAUCCCCGCGCUCAACGUGGGAACUGCCUUUGAAACUGGCAAACUGGAGUGUGUGAGAGGAUAGUGGAAUGCCAGGUGUAGGAGUGAAAGCCGUAGAUAUCUGGAGGAACAUCGGUGGCGAAGGCGACGAUCUGGCACAUAACUGACGCUGAGGAGCGAAAGCGUGGGUAGCAAACAGGAUUAGAUACCCUAGUAGUC
This 465-nucleotide ribosomal RNA is filed under the name uncultured bacterium. Its description in RNAcentral is "partial 16S ribosomal RNA". It matches the Rfam family "Bacterial small subunit ribosomal RNA", at positions 338 to 795 of the family's 1533-position model. The record is from RNAcentral.